UGGGGAAUUUUGCACAAUGGGGGAAACCCUGAUGCAGCGACGCCGCGUGAUUUAGAAGGCCUUCGGGUUGUAAAAAUCUUUUCUAUGGGAAGAAAAUGACAGUACCAUAGGAAUAAGGACUGGCUAAUUACGUGCCAGCAGCCGCGGUAAUACGUAAGGUCCGAGCGUUGUCCGGAAUCAUUGGGCGUAAAGGGUACGUAGGCGGGUAAGCAAGUUAGAAGUGAAAUCCUGUAGCUCAACUACAGUAAGCUUUUAAAACUGCUCAUCUUGAGGUAUGGAAGGGAAAGUGGAAUUCCUAGUGUAGCGGUGAAAUGCGCAGAUAUUAGGAGGAAUACCGGUGGCGAAGGCAGGUUACUGGGCAGUUACUGACGCUGAGGAGCGAAAGCAUGGGUAGCGAACAGG
Molecule: ribosomal RNA, 402 nt
Filed under: Verrucomicrobiota bacterium
Lineage: Bacteria; Pseudomonadati; Verrucomicrobiota
Description: Verrucomicrobia bacterium partial 16S ribosomal RNA
Rfam family: Bacterial small subunit ribosomal RNA
Source: RNAcentral